This 1287-nucleotide long non-coding RNA is filed under the name Daphnia pulex (common water flea). Its description in RNAcentral is "uncharacterized LOC124210069, transcript variant X2". The record is from RNAcentral. Lineage: Eukaryota; Metazoa; Arthropoda; Branchiopoda; Diplostraca; Daphniidae.
UUAGUUGCAAUCCGCCGGGCAGUUCCAAAAGAAACGGAGAAAUCCAACGUGAACAGCUGCAACUCCCGUCAUCGGUUCAACUGGAUUACAACGACCCUGCAAAUUCAACUGGCGCUACUUAAAUAAUCGACAUAGAAAAAUGCGGCUCGACUAUAAAAUGACGACCCACUUGGGCGUUUGAAUUCCUAAACCCCCACGUCUGAUCUCCUAGAUAAAAAAUGAAGUUCCUUCCGAUUCUCUUCCUUCUGGUUGCCGUCUGCCUGGUUGUCGCCAUGGAGGCCCAAACAACCAAGAAACCAACACCUGCAACGACCACCAGCAAGACACCAACAACAACUGCCAAGACAACUGUUAAAUCAACAACAUCGAAGACAACGACAACCACCAAACCGUGUCCAGUAGUACCACCGUUAGAACGUCGUCCACUAAACCUGCCACGACGACAACAACAGCCAAACGGACAACUGCCAAGACAACAACGUCAGUCAAAACAACCGCACGAACGACGACAUCCCUGAAGCACCGCAAACAACAUCGCAGAAAACAAUCAGCACAAAAUCCAACACCCCCGCCAGGACAAAAGCUGCACCAACAACAACGUCAAUUCCUUCACCGGCUCUUUUUGAUUGUUCAGUUUCCGAUCCAGCCUGCGGAACUAUGUGCACCAAUCUGACGUCAACGGGAGGUGUUGUCCAUUCUCCCAAUUUCCCCGGCGACUACGGGAAUGAUUAAUUCAGGAUUUGCGAAGUCGAUCGUUGUCGUGCCAGCAGGAAAGAAAAUCCAAUUGACAUUCACCAUCUUUAAUGUGGAGACUGACUACGGUCAUGUUUAUGUUAGCGACAGAUACACGGAUUUAUUAUAUGGGCCAACCGGCCACGGGUCCGGAAGAACAAUUCAGUCACCACAGCAUCCACCAUCAUGUUUAUACAGUUUGUUACCUAUGCCACUACUAAACCCAAACCCACAAUCUAUAAUUGGCAGGUGACUUACACUGCUGUCGCGAUCAAUAAGGGUAAUACAACCACAACGACAUCUACGGUGCCAACGACUGUAAAAUAAAUGGCUUUGCUUCUCGUUUGAUCGACGCUGAUCGACAGUCCUGAUUAAAUGAACCAUUGAACAGGUGAGAAACGUCCUGCAGCAGUCACAAUGCCAUCAGUGAACCACCAUGACGCUCCCUGUGCUCUUUAACACUCAGCGUCAACUGCUUUAUUAUUAAUUGGCCCAAAAAUAAUUACCUAACUGUGUGCACUAUAACUACAAGUAAUAAACUCUUGUAUUUAACCA